This 497-nucleotide ribosomal RNA is filed under the name uncultured Caryophanales bacterium. RNAcentral's name for it is "uncultured Bacillales bacterium partial 16S ribosomal RNA". Lineage: Bacteria; Bacillati; Bacillota; Bacilli; Caryophanales. The record is from RNAcentral.
CACGUAGUUAGCCGUGGCUUUCUAAUGAGGUACCGUCAAGGUACAAGCAGUUACUCUUGUACUUGUUCUUCCCUCACAACAGAGCUUUACGAUCCGAAAACCUUCUUCACUCACGCGGCAUUGCACCAUCAGACUUUCGUCCAUUGUGGAUGAUUCCCUACUGCUGCCUCCCGUAGGAGUCUGGGCCGUGUCUCAGUCCCAGUGUGGCCGAUCACCCUCUCAGGUCGGCUACGCAUCGUCGCCUUGGUAAGCCGUUACCUUACCAACUAGCUAAUGCGCCGCGGGCCCAUCCUAUAGCGACAGCCGAAGCCGUCUUUCAAAACUCUUUCAUGCGAAAGAAUUGAUUAUUCGGUAUUAGCCCCGGUUUCCCGGAGUUAUCCCCAACUACAGGGCAGGUUGCCCACGUGUUACUCACCCAUUCGCCGCUAACAGAGAGAGGAGCAAGCUCCUCAUCUGUUCGCUCGACUUGCAUGUAUUAGGCAUGCCGCCAGCCGUGU